UCUGCCAUAAAUUUGUUUAAGGCUUUUCUUAUGUGCAUACAUACCCAGUCGGAAGUUAGAGAACGCAUUCCAAUAAAAAAGCUUCUUUCGUGCAUGCUUUGCAAGCGAAAAAGAAUGUAAGAAGCUAUAAAGAAGCCUUUUUUAUGCAUUCUAAAGAGUUUUUGUGAAACCGUCCCUUCCACUACAAUGCAUUAAAAAGCCUUCUUUUGCAAUGUAAAAAAAAACUGAAACCCGAACGAUGCCGAUCGUCCGAUAUUUUUGAGAUCGUGUUUUUCACCGAAAACCUCGCUUACGAAAGAACGCAAAAAGAAGUCUUGUUUCGGAAUGGACAAAAAAAUGGGAAACCAAUUUAAUCUAUUUUCCUUAAUGAACAGCAGCGGCGUAAAUAUAUUCACUUUUUAUCUUUAAAAACAAUAUCUGAACGCUUUGUUAUGUUUGGGGUAUAUGACUUGUUAAACUUUUCCUAAAAUUAAAUCUGUAAAAAAUAUUAAUAUUUAAUUUUAUUAAUAAUAAUAUUUAAUAUAUUUUAUAUUGUAUUAGAAAAUUAUUAAUUUGAAUCAGUUUUUUAUAUAUUUUAAUUUUAGGUAAUAAUAUAUACACGAUUACAUGAUUUUUUUUCAAAGCGUGAUUUUGUUUUAAAUUAUUAUUUUACAUUGCCGGCGCUAUAGUUUCCUCCGCCACUGUAUUCACAAGGAGUAACCGAACAAAACGGUACUCUAAAAAGCAAACGACAAGAAAAAAAGGGAAAAUGCAAGAAUGCGCGCGGUCUUUUUCGUUUCUUUUGCAUUUCUCGCCACUUGCAUUUUGAUUUUCAUUUGAAAUAGCUGGUGCCUCUGUGAUUUGUGAAAUUAAUAUAUUCUUUGCGGUUUUAAUUUUCAAAAAAACUAUUUCAAAACAAAAGCUUUAUUAUGACGGUACUAGGGACAGGGAAGGUUUUGCGUCCUACAUUCAUUUAAAUGAAACAUUAUUCGUCACAAAGAAGAGACGGUUACCGCUUCACAGACCAUUUUAAAGACCUUCGACUGGCCUUCACUAGGGCCAAAAAUAAAACUUAUAAGGCUAAAAGUAUGGCCAAAAAGAUGAGAGACGACGAAAACGGCCAGGAGUAAUACAAUAAG
This is a long non-coding RNA of Drosophila gunungcola (fruit fly), 1118 nucleotides long. RefSeq lists it as uncharacterized. The transcript has 4 exons. NCBI's taxonomy places the organism in Eukaryota, Metazoa, Arthropoda, Insecta, Diptera, Drosophilidae. The record is from RefSeq and is a predicted model, not a curated record.